AAUAAGGGCCGGGCGGUUGCCAUGGGGCUGCAGGCGAGCUCAUAUCUGGGUAAAGUUAGGGUAAUGUUUGGCCUCUGUUGAUCAUUUAACUUGACAGAGCUUAAAAGGUGCCCUGCAUUUUCCUUCCUGAGUAUUUGUGGACUAGCUUGAAUGUACAUGUUUGCUACAUGUGAUGAAGAUGCUUCUCUUGUUGCAUACAGGUAAUCUGCAGAAUGGCGGCCAUGCUGACCAUGCACAGUUGAACGCCUGCUGCUGCCUUGAACUGUGUGGUGCCUGGAAACUCUUCCAAGUUUGGAAGAUAGCAACAUUUUCUGAGCUCUGCUCAGAUAACAUGAAGAAAGCGUGUUCAGACUGCUUCACAGCUGUGUCCCACACUUCCCCCUGUGCUCUCAACUGUGUGCAUCAAACUCCUCAGUGAUCCCCAUCGAUCGGCCCAGCAGCUGUAGUGCCACCUUAGCCGAGUGAGCUCUAGCCAGGAUGCUUGGCACCGCCAGCCCCCGUCACCUCAAGCAUCCACCUAGAAUCCAGCAACGAUCUCAUCUCCAGCUUUAGUAAUAGUGACCUUCUGGGCAAGAUGGAAGAUUAGAGCUUUAAUUAUGUAAAGAAGCAAAAAGUAAUUGCAAUAACGAUUUGGAAACAUGACUGCCGGGUUAUAAAUAAUGAAGCUACCACGUCUCCUCAGUUCAGAUAAAAUAUUCAUUCAGGGUGGUGAUUAAAUAACCUGUAAAGAAAAUUGUCUCUUUCUCCUUGAUUAAUGAAGUUCUUCAGAGAAUUUACACAGGAAAAAAGGUGAAGUCUUCCAGAUGUGCGUUUGUGACACAGGACAUUCUUAUUAUACCAAGGCUUGUCUCUGUGUGCUGUCUUGACCCUCAGUUCCUUUCUAGCGUGGUGGUUGAUCUUGUGUUUGUCAUGCCUGCCCUCUGAGGAUGGCAGGUACAUACGACCAAUGUGAGGUGGGUCUUACACAUCCCUUUGCCAUCAGGGCUGCAUAGGAGGUGAGGUCGGACAGUGUGGGCAGUUGACACCUUGGAGUCCAGAUUGUCUACACACACACACACACACACACACACACACACCACACACACACACACACACACACACAGUGCUUGUGCAGACACAGUCCUGGGGAAGAGCACACAGUCAGCUCUUCCCCAUUCUUAAGCUUUUGUUCCAAAGUCUGCCCCCUGCUGGAACACUCAUAAAUAUGCAGCGGAGGCUGGCCGAGCUUCCUGGGGUGGUUUUCAGUGUGGUCCCCUUUCUGCCAGGGGGCAGAUUGGGGCCAGCUAAAGCUAUGGGUUUGCAGUCUUCUGACAGGAUGCAGGUACUCAUUCGGGAAAGAGUGGGGCUGAGGUGCAGGUGCUGCUCACGUCCCUUCCUGCGAGCGCCAUGGUAGUGAGAGCUUGCUUCUUCCCUCUCCCCUGGCUUCAGAGC
Molecule: long non-coding RNA, 1431 nt
Filed under: Mus spicilegus (steppe mouse)
Lineage: Eukaryota; Metazoa; Chordata; Mammalia; Rodentia; Muridae
Description: lncRNA (ENSMSIG00000026818.1)
Source: RNAcentral